AAUCAACGCUGGCGGCGUGCCUAACACAUGCAAGUCGCACGAGAAAGGGUAGCAAUACCUGCGUAAAGUGGCGCACGGGUGAGUAGCACGUGACUAAUCUACCCUCGAGUGGGGAAUAACUGAGAGAAAUCUUAGCUAAUACCGCAUAACACUUACGAGUCAAAGCAGCAAUGCGCUUGGGGAGGAGGUCGCGGCCGAUUAGCUAGUUGGCGGGGUAAUGGCCCACCAAGGCGAUGAUCGGUAUCCGGCCUGAGAGGGCGCACGGACACACUGGAACUGAAACACGGUCCAGACUCCUACGGGAGGCAGCAGUGGGGAAUUUGCGCAAUGGGGGAAACCCUGACGCAGCAACGCCGCGUGGAGGAUGAAGUAUCUUGGUACGUAAACUCCUUUCGAUUGGGAAGAUAAUGACGGUACCAAUAGAAGAAGCCCCGGCUAACUUCGUGCCAGCCGCCGCAGU
RNAcentral lists this ribosomal RNA (460 nucleotides) under uncultured bacterium. RNAcentral's name for it is "bacterial SSU rRNA". It matches the Rfam family "Bacterial small subunit ribosomal RNA", at positions 32 to 521 of the family's 1533-position model. The record is from RNAcentral.